This 439-nucleotide ribosomal RNA is filed under the name uncultured bacterium. Its description in RNAcentral is "partial 16S ribosomal RNA". It matches the Rfam family "Bacterial small subunit ribosomal RNA", at positions 338 to 795 of the family's 1533-position model. The record is from RNAcentral.
CCUACGGGAGGCAGCAGUGAGGAAUAUUGGGCAAUGGAGGCAACUCUGACCCAGCCAUGCCGCGUGAGUGAAGAAGGUUUUCGGAUUGUAAAGCUCUUUCGGAUGUGACGAUGAUGACGGUAGCAUCUAAAGAAGCCCCGGCUAACUUCGUGCCAGCAGCCGCGGUAAUACGGAGGAUGCGAGCGUUAUCCGGAUUUAUUGGGUUUAAAGGGUGCGCAGGCGGAUUUUUAAGUCAGCGGUCAAAUCGUGGGGCUCAACCCCAUCCAGCCGUUGAAACUGGGGAUCUAGAGUGUGCGAGAGGUAUGCGGAAUGCGUGGUGUAGCGGUGAAAUGCAUAGAUAUCACGCAGAACCCCGAUUGCGAAGGCAGCAUACCGGUGCACAACUGACGCUCAGGCACGAAAGCGUGGGUAUCGAACAGGAUUAGAUACCCGAGUAGUC